Non-coding RNA from Microcebus murinus (gray mouse lemur), 1025 nucleotides. The record is from RefSeq and is a predicted model, not a curated record. NCBI's taxonomy places the organism in Eukaryota, Metazoa, Chordata, Mammalia, Primates, Cheirogaleidae.
UGUUAAAACACAGAUUGCUGGACCCCACUCCCACAGUUUCUGAUUCAGGAGAUCUAGGGUGGGGUCUGAUAAUUUGUGCUUCUCACAAAUUCCCAGGUGAUGGAGGGAAGCAGUGCUGCUGGUCUGGGAAGCACACUUUGAGAACCCCCGCUGUUCCAUAAUGUUCUUUCUUCAAAGGAGGAAACAGCCAGGACUUUUGACAUGACAGAGCCGCAGGUGUGAAGCAUUGAUUUAGUAGAACCUCUGUGUGAUCAACAAACUCUUAGAUCUCUGGACCUCUGGGAAAUAAGGAAAGCCUUUUGGUAAACUGAGGUGUUGAUACUUCCUGAGUCUGUUUCAAGGCUUCUUCGAUGAGGAAAGAUGGAAUGACGAUUUUGCUCUAUCUUCAGCCCUGAGAUCCAGCUUCUGUAGCCCAAGGCAGGAGAAGACAUUGGUUUAUGGAAAAUGGAUGUUUAAGAUCAUGAAGAAGAGAGCCCUUUGCAAAUCUUCAGAAGGAAGCUGGAGGGUGAGAAGAUGAUCAUAACUCAUAGACCAAGAGGGUUCUUCUGGGCAAAGGAAACCCUGCCGGAGCCAGCCGGCGACGUGCGGCACCUGGAGUUAGGGGGCGAGGCUGAGAAAUGAAGAGACAACAAAAAGAUGGGGACGGGAGGACGGAGUCCUUGCUGACUGCCGCACCUCGUUCAUUUCAGUUGCUGUAUUUAUACAGAUAAGAACAAAGGAGAAGCAAAAUGCAAAGGAACAGGUGGUGCAUGUCUUCAUUAAACCAGAAAACAAAACAGUUCUUGUUUCUUUUAACCUUACGUCACUUUGAUAGUCCUUUCCCUCGCUUAAGCAGUUUUCUAAUCUACAACUUAACUUUUUUCUGAUAUCAAAAAAGCUACAAAUACUCAUCUAUGAUCACUCAGACAGUUCUAGGAAAGGAGCAGCACCCAAGUGUAAUUAACAAUUCCGAGAAAGGAGUGUGCAGGGCCUAGUGGGGGCUAUAAGCGACGAGGGCUGUGUGCACAGGAUUACUUCAGUGACCU